GGUCGGUUAGCUCAGUCAGUUAGAGCGUGGUGCAGAUAACACCAAGGUCACGGGUUCAAUCCCCGUUCAGUCCC
This is a non-coding RNA of Apaloderma vittatum (bar-tailed trogon), 74 nucleotides long. The record is from Rfam. NCBI's taxonomy places the organism in Eukaryota, Metazoa, Chordata, Aves, Trogoniformes, Trogonidae.